GAUGAAGAACGCAGCGAAAUGCGAUAAGUAAUGUGAAUUUCAGAAUUCAGUGAAUCAUCGAAUCUUUGAACGCAUCUUGCGCUCCUUGGUAUUCCGAGGAGCAUGCCUGUUUGAGUGUCAUUAACGUUCUCAACCACAUUACUACAUAUGUGGCUUGGAUGUGGGGGUUUGCAGGCUUUCUCUGAGGGUCUGCUCCUCUGAAAUGCAUUAGUGGUAUUCCUGAGCUUUACUACAGAUGUGAUAAUUUAUCUACAUCCCAAAAGUAUGCUUCAGCAACACCGCUCCUAACAAGCGAAAGCACAUUUUGAUGAAUUUGACCUCAAAUCAGGUAGGACUACCCGCUGAACUUAAGCAUAUCAAUAAGCGGAGGA
This 371-nucleotide unclassified non-coding RNA is filed under the name soil metagenome. Its description in RNAcentral is "partial contains 5.8S ribosomal RNA, internal transcribed spacer 2, and large subunit ribosomal RNA". The stretch from base 1 to 120 matches the Rfam family "5.8S ribosomal RNA", at positions 35 to 154 of the family's 154-position model. The record is from RNAcentral.